UACGGAGGGUGCAAGCGUUAUCCGGAUUCACUGGGUUUAAAGGGUGCGUAGGUGGGCAGUUAAGUCAGUGGUGAAAUCUCCGGGCUCAACCCGGAAACUGCCAUUGAUACUAUCUGUCUUGAAUAUCGUGGAGGUAAGCGGAAUAUGUCAUGUAGCGGUGAAAUGCUUAGAUAUGACAUAGAACACCGAUAGCGAAGGCAGCUUGCUACACGAGUAUUGACACUGAGGCACGAAAGCGUGGGGAUCAAACAGG
RNAcentral lists this ribosomal RNA (253 nucleotides) under uncultured bacterium. RNAcentral describes it as "partial 16S ribosomal RNA". It matches the Rfam family "Bacterial small subunit ribosomal RNA", at positions 524 to 776 of the family's 1533-position model. The record is from RNAcentral.